Molecule: ribosomal RNA, 253 nt
Filed under: uncultured bacterium
Lineage: Bacteria
Description: partial 16S ribosomal RNA
Rfam family: Bacterial small subunit ribosomal RNA
Source: RNAcentral
UACGAAGGGGGCUAGCGUUACUCGGAUUGACUGGGCGUAAAGGGCGCGUAGGCGGUUUUGUAAGCCGGAUGUGAAAUCCCCGGGCUUAACCUGGGAAUGGCAUUCGGGACUGCAAGGCUGGAGUGCGGCAGAGGAGACUGGAAUUCCUGGUGUAGCAGUGAAAUGCGUAGAUAUCAGGAGGAACACCGAUGGCGAAGGCAGGUCUCUGGGCUGACACUGACGCUCAUGCACGAAAGCGUGGGGAGCAAACAGG